Molecule: ribosomal RNA, 448 nt
Filed under: uncultured prokaryote
Description: partial 16S ribosomal RNA
Source: RNAcentral
CCUACGGGCGGCAGGCGAAGUCUGACGGGGGUUGUUCUUUGAUUUUUACUAUUCGGUUUAACUUGUAAAUUUUUGUAACAGAAUGACAACCCCCUAACCCCCUUUAUUAAGGGGGAAUAAGAUGAAUGUUAUACCAUCGAACGCACUUGGUAUAAUAUAAUUUCUUAAAUCGAACUCACGUUAAAUAGUUACUAAUAUUAGCGACCUAAUUCCUAUUUGAAAAUUUCAUAACAAACCAUUGAAAAUCCACUUGCACGAGCAGCAGAAAUUGGUUGAGCAAGCUUUCGGGUAAUUACUAAUCAUAUUAUGAAAUAUAAAUCAAUGUCAAUCGUUGAAAAUUUAGUUAAAAUGCCUAAUUGGAAAAAAAUAUGAUUAAUCAAUUUCAUGCCAUAUAUGAACGCGACGGGGAUUGGUUCGUAGCUUAUUGUCCCGAGAUACCCGAGUAGUC